UGCAUCGUCGUGUGCGCACAACUGAGCACU
Molecule: non-coding RNA, 30 nt
Filed under: Rattus norvegicus (Norway rat)
Lineage: Eukaryota; Metazoa; Chordata; Mammalia; Rodentia; Muridae
Source: RNAcentral